This 1041-nucleotide long non-coding RNA is filed under the name Dromaius novaehollandiae (emu). Its description in RNAcentral is "lncRNA (ENSDNVG00000005135.1)". Lineage: Eukaryota; Metazoa; Chordata; Aves; Casuariiformes; Dromaiidae. The record is from RNAcentral.
UGAUUUAGGGGAGGUGUCUUUGUAUUUAAUAGCCCUGGGUGUAUUUUCCUUCAGUGAGUUUGUCUAAUUGCUUCUUGAAUCUGUGCAACCCUGGGGCAGCGUGUUCCACCCUUUAAAUAUGUGUCUGGUGAACACGGCGUCUGCCUGUCCUGAGCCUGCCUUCCCUUAGCUUCGUCUGAGCUCCUGCCCUAAGGGAGGCUGUGGUAACGCCACAUUCACCUUCGCCGUKAUUUUUAUAUCCUUUUCAUGGAGAAGGACAUGCUGCAGGUUUAUGUAAGCAGCUGGGAACAAGGAAAUGGAGCUGGGCUACCUUUCAGGAGCACAGUUUGGGCCUUUAUAAAGUCACAUUUCAUCGCCAUCACCUCCUUUCCUUUGUCUCUCCUUCUGCCGCUGUCCUGUCGCCAGUCCUUGCUUCAGCAAGGACUUCUCCAGCCCCUCCACCUCCCCAUCCAGCACCUGCUGUCCCCACCAGCCUCCACCAGCCCGGAAGGACGCGUGUGCGGAUGUCGGGCUGGAAGAGAUGGGGUGGCGAGGAAGAAGCUGGGGCUGGGAGGAACUCAGAUUUACAAGGCCAGCAGCAGCCAUCAGCCUGGGCUCUGCCCUGCUCCUUGCCUUGCCUAUAGCACUGGUUCUUUCCAUGACCGAGGCCUGUCUCCGGGGCUGGGGACAGGUACCCGUGGGGAGACGAAGAACAGGGAACAGAGUCAAGUCCACAGCCAUCAACGAAACUGCAGGAACACAAGAAAAGUAAUUAGUGACUUGGCACAGUGCUUGGGAAAGCCAAAGGAGGACGUCAGAGCAAGAAGGAGAGAGGGAUCAGAGAAUAAGCCGGGGAGCAGAGAUCAGAACAGGCGAAAACAGCAAGUAAAACAGAGGGACGAAACUGUGAGCAUCUGUCUGAAGGACAAAGAUGUCCCGGGUCAGGCAGCUCCUCUGCGACUCACYGAGCAACUACCCCCCUACCUCUGGGGAUCGAGGCUGUAACACGUAUGGCAUUAAAGGCUUCUUCARGGAUCUUAAAUCCCUUCCAAGCCUGACUCU